RNAcentral lists this ribosomal RNA (119 nucleotides) under Mycetomoellerius zeteki. The record is from RNAcentral. Lineage: Eukaryota; Metazoa; Arthropoda; Insecta; Hymenoptera; Formicidae.
GACAACUUCCAUAUUACGUUCAAAAGUACCAGUUCUCGACCGAUCAUUGAAGUCAAGUGACGUUGAACAUGAUUAGUACUUGGAUGGGUGACCGCUUGCGAAUACCCGAGAGUGUGUCU